CCCCCAUUUUUUCGAUUGAAAGUAUUCAAAAAUUUUGGUAUGUCCGCGCAUUUCCAUUCUAGCAGUACAAGCAGGAGGCGACGAAGAACACAUACAUCAUCACAAAUCACCAGGGUUUGCGGGUGGCACUGAAUUGGGCACUGGUUUGAAGAAGCUUUCGUGUUGCGAUACCCCUAGAGCUGCGAACUGAUAAAUAUUGAGUCUGAAUUUGGAUAAAUGGUCUUAAUGAAAGUUGUGAAUCAUCGCGAUACAAGUUCGUAGGCGCAAAUGGAUUGCAAAUUGGAGUUCGGACGAGAAAGAUAUGGCCAGAACAAGAAAUUCGCGUGCAGCAGUGAAUAGUGCCCGAUGAGAA
This is a long non-coding RNA of Salvia miltiorrhiza (redroot sage), 352 nucleotides long. RefSeq lists it as uncharacterized. The transcript has 3 exons. NCBI's taxonomy places the organism in Eukaryota, Viridiplantae, Streptophyta, Magnoliopsida, Lamiales, Lamiaceae. The record is from RefSeq and is a predicted model, not a curated record.